Molecule: ribosomal RNA, 433 nt
Filed under: uncultured bacterium
Lineage: Bacteria
Description: partial 16S ribosomal RNA
Rfam family: Bacterial small subunit ribosomal RNA
Source: RNAcentral
AAUGAACGCUGGCGGCAGGCCUAACACAUGCCAGUCGAGCGAGCAUUUCGGUGCUAGCGGCGGACGGGUGAGUAACGCGUGGGAACGUGCCCUUUUCUGCGGAAUAGUCCUGGGAAACUGGGGGUAAUACCGCAUACGCCCUUUUGGGGAAAGAUUUAUCGGAGAAGGAUCGGCCCGCGUUGGAUUAGGUAGUUGGUGGGGUAAUGGCCCACCAAGCCGACGAUCCAUAGCUGGUUUGAGAGGAUGAUCAGCCACACUGGGACUGAGACACGGCCCAGACUCCUACGGGAGGCAGCAGUGGGGAAUCUUAGACAAUGGGGGCAACCCUGAUCUAGCCAUGCCGCGUGAGUGAUGAAGGCCUUAGGGUUGUAAAGCUCUUUCAGCUGGGAAGAUAAUGACGGUACCAGCAGAAGAAGCCCCGGCUAACUCCGUG